GCGCACCAGUCGAGAAUACUUCGCAAUGGGGAAACCCGUCGACGAGGGGAGUUCCAAGUGCCAGCACACAGUGUUGGCUGUUCUUCUGUCCAAAACGACAGGAGAAGUAAGGGCCGGGUAAGACGGUGCCAGCCGCCGCGGUAAUACCCGCGGCCCGAGUGGUGGUCGAUUUUAUUGAGCCUAAAACGUCCGUAGCCUGCUUGGUAAAUCCUUGGGUAAAUCGGCCAGCUUAACUGUCCGAAGUCCGGGGAGACUGCCAGGCUUGGGGACCGGGAGAGGUCAGAGGUACUUCUGGGGUAGGGAUAAAAUCCUGUAAUCCUAGAAGGACCACCGGUGGCGAAGGCGACUGACUAGAACGGAUUCGACGGUGAGGGACGAAGCCCUGGGGCGCAAACGGGAUUAGAUACCCGCGUAGU
This 416-nucleotide ribosomal RNA is filed under the name uncultured microorganism. Its description in RNAcentral is "bacterial SSU rRNA". It matches the Rfam family "Archaeal small subunit ribosomal RNA", at positions 330 to 745 of the family's 1478-position model. The record is from RNAcentral.